This 305-nucleotide ribosomal RNA is filed under the name uncultured bacterium. RNAcentral describes it as "bacterial SSU rRNA". It matches the Rfam family "Bacterial small subunit ribosomal RNA", at positions 8 to 295 of the family's 1533-position model. The record is from RNAcentral.
AGAGUUUGAUCAUGGCUCAGAACGAACGCUGGCGGCGUGCCUAACACAUGCAAGUCGAACGAGAAGUACGUAGCAAUACGUAUUGUAAAGUGGCGCACGGGUGAGUAACACGUGGGUAAUCUGCCCUUGAGUUUGGGAUAACCCCGCGAAAGCGGGGCUAAUACCGAAUAAGACCACGGGGACCAAAGUCCCUGAGGUAAAAGACGGCCUCUAUUUAUAAGCUGUCACUUGAGGAUGAGCCCGCGGCCCAUUAGCUAGUUGGUAGGGUAACGGCCUACCAAGGCGAUGAUAGGUAGCUGGUCUGA